Molecule: ribosomal RNA, 484 nt
Filed under: uncultured bacterium
Lineage: Bacteria
Description: partial 16S ribosomal RNA
Rfam family: Bacterial small subunit ribosomal RNA
Source: RNAcentral
AUUGAACGCUGGCGGCAGGCCUAACACAUGCAAGUCGAGCGGAUGAAGGGAGCUUGCUCCUGGAUUCAGCGGCGGACGGGUGAGUAAUGCCUAGGAAUCUGCCUGGUAGUGGGGGAUAACGUCCGGAAACGGGCGCUAAUACCGCAUACGUCCUGAGGGAGAAAGUGGGGGAUCUUCGGACCUCACGCUAUCAGAUGAGCCUAGGUUGGAUUAGCUAGUUGGUGGGGUAAAGGCCUACCAAGGCGACGAGCCGUAACUGGUCUGAGAGGAUGAUCAGUCACACUGGAACUGAGACACGGUCCAGACUCCUACGGGAGGCAGCAGUGGGGAAUAUUGGACAAUGGGCGAAAGCCUGAUCCAGCCAUGCCGCGUGUGUGAAGAAGGUCUUCGGAUUGUAAAGCACUUUAGGUUGGGAGGAAGGGCAGUAAGUUAAUACCUUGCUGUUUUGGCGUUACCAACAGAAUAAGCACCGGCUAACUUCGUG